RNAcentral lists this ribosomal RNA (537 nucleotides) under uncultured bacterium. Its description in RNAcentral is "bacterial SSU rRNA". It matches the Rfam family "Bacterial small subunit ribosomal RNA", at positions 775 to 1312 of the family's 1533-position model. The record is from RNAcentral.
AGAAUAGACUACCCGGUAGUCCACGCCCUAAACGAUGUCAACUAGCUGUUGGGGUUUAUUAACCUUAGUAGCGCAGCCAACGCAUGAAGUUGACCGCCUGGGGAGUACGGUCGCAAGAUUAAAACUCAAAAGGAAUUGACGGGGACCCGCACAAGCGGUGGAUGAUGUGGAUUAAUUCGAUGCAACGCGAAAAACCUUACCUACCCUUGACAUGUCUGGAAUCCCGAAGAGAUUUGGGAGUGCUCGCAAGAGAACCGGAACACAGGUGCUGCAUGGCUGUCGUCAGCUCGUGUCGUGAGAUGUUGGGUUAAGUCCCGCAACGAGCGCAACCCUUGCCAUUAGUUGCUACAUUCAGUUGGGCACUCUAAUGGGACUGCCGGUGACAAACCGGAGGAAGGUGGGGAUGACGUCAAGUCCUCAUGGCCCUUAUGGGUAGGGCUUCACACGUCAUACAAUGGUCGGGACAGAGGGUUGCCAAGCCGCGAGGUGGAGCCAAUCUCAGAAACCCGAUCGUAGUCCGGAUCGCAGUCUGCUAAC